RNAcentral lists this ribosomal RNA (253 nucleotides) under uncultured prokaryote. Its description in RNAcentral is "partial 16S ribosomal RNA". It matches the Rfam family "Bacterial small subunit ribosomal RNA", at positions 524 to 776 of the family's 1533-position model. The record is from RNAcentral.
GACGUAGGGAGCAAGCGUUGUCCGGAAUUACUGGGCGUAAAGAGCUCGUAGGCGGGACCGUAAGUCCGAGAGGAAAUCUCAAGGCUCAACUUUGGGGCUUUCUUGGAUACUGCGGUUCUUGAGGAUGAGAGAGGUAAGUAGAAUUCCCGGUGUAGCAGUGAAAUGCGUAGAUAUCGAGAGGAACACCAGUGGCGAAGGCGAGUCUCUAGACAUUUCCUGACGCUGAGGCACGAAAGCCAGGGGAGCAAACGGG